This 507-nucleotide ribosomal RNA is filed under the name uncultured bacterium. RNAcentral's name for it is "partial 16S ribosomal RNA". It matches the Rfam family "Bacterial small subunit ribosomal RNA", at positions 28 to 507 of the family's 1533-position model. The record is from RNAcentral.
GACGAACGCUGGCGGCGUGCUUAACACAUGCAAGUCGAACGGGCCUUGUCCCCUUUUUUUUGGGGGUGGGGUUAGUGGCGAACGGGUGGGUAACACGUGAGUAACCUGCCCCUCACUUCUGGAUAACCGCUUGAAAGGGUGGCUAAUACGGGGUGUUCUGGCCUGCUCGCAUGGGUGGGUUUGGAAAGAUUCGACCGGUUUUGGUUGUUUUGGUGGGGGAUGGGCUCGCGGCCUAUCAGCUUGUUGGUGGGGUGAUGGCCUGCCAAGGCUUUGACGGGUAGCCGGCCUGAGAGGGUGGGCGGUCACACUGGGACUGAGACACGGCCCAGACUCCUACGGGAGGCAGCAGUGGGGAAUAUUGCACAAUGGGCGCAAGCCUGAUGCAGCGACGCCGCGUGAGGGAUGGAGGCCUUCGGGUUGUGAACCUCUUUCGCCAGUGAAGAAGGUCCUGCUCUUUGUGGUGGGGUUGACGGUAGCUGGGUUAAUGAAGCGCCGGCUAACUACGUG